AUAUGUGUGGUGUAGUGGUUUCAGUGUUGGACUAUAACUCUGGAGACCAGGGUUCAAAUUCCUGCUCAGCCA
Molecule: transfer RNA, 72 nt
Filed under: Phrynosoma platyrhinos (Desert horned lizard)
Lineage: Eukaryota; Metazoa; Chordata; Lepidosauria; Squamata; Phrynosomatidae
Description: tRNA-OTHER
Source: RNAcentral